CUACGGGGCGCUGCAGUCGCGGAACUUUUACAAUGCACGAAAGUGUGAUAAAGCGAGCCAAAGUGUUUUUCGUAUAGAAAAACUUUUUCUUAGUGUAAAAAUCUAGGAGAAUAAGGACUGGGAAAGAUCGGUGCCAGCCGCCGCGGUAAUACCGACAGUUCAAGUUGCAUCCCUUUUUAUUGGGUCUAAAACAUCCGUAGCUUGCCAUUUAAGUCUCUUGUGAAAUCCUACGUCUCAAGCGUAGGGCUUGCAGGAGAUACUGGGUGGCUAGAGAUCGGUAGACGUAAGGAGUACGCCGGGGGUAGUGGUAAAAUGUGUUAAUCCUCGGUGGACUAACAAUGAGCGAAGGCACCUUACGAGGACGAAUCUGACAGUGAGGGAUGAAGGCCAGGGGCGCAAAACGGAUUAGAUACCCCGGUAGUC
This 423-nucleotide ribosomal RNA is filed under the name uncultured archaeon. RNAcentral's name for it is "partial 16S ribosomal RNA". It matches the Rfam family "Archaeal small subunit ribosomal RNA", at positions 323 to 746 of the family's 1478-position model. The record is from RNAcentral.